This 220-nucleotide ribosomal RNA is filed under the name uncultured bacterium. Its description in RNAcentral is "partial 16S ribosomal RNA". It matches the Rfam family "Bacterial small subunit ribosomal RNA", at positions 1281 to 1500 of the family's 1533-position model. The record is from RNAcentral.
GACAGUCUUAGUUCGGAUUGUAGGCUGCAACCCGCCUACAUGAAGUCGGAAUUGCUAGUAAUCGCGGAUCAGCAUGCCGCGGUGAAUACGUUCCCGGGCCUUGUACACACCGCCCGUCACACCAUGGGAGUUGGUAACACCCGAAGUCAGUAGCCUAACCGCAAGGAGGGCGCUGCCGAAGGUGGGAUCGAUGACUGGGGUGAAGUCGUAACAAGGUACC